UCCCCGUUACCGGGGCAGUCUAUUUAGAGAAAUUCAACUAAAUAAAAGGGUUGCGCUCGUUAAUGGACUUAACCAAACAUCUCACGACACGAGCUGACGACGGCCAUGCAACACCUGUCACAUGGUUCAAUAAAGUACUCUCUUCUUUCGAGGAAAUUCCAUGGAUGUCAAACCCUGGUAAGGUUCUUCGCUUACCUUCGAAUUAAAGAACACGCUCCACCGCUUGUGCGGGUCCCCGUCAAUUCCUUUAUGUUUUAGCCUUGCGGCCGUACUCCACAGGCGGGAUGCUUAACGCGUUAGCUUCGCUACUACAAGGGUCGAUACUCGUAACAGCUAGCAUCCAUAGUUUACGGCGUGGACUAC
Molecule: unclassified non-coding RNA, 363 nt
Filed under: uncultured bacterium
Lineage: Bacteria
Description: contains 16S-23S intergenic spacer region
Source: RNAcentral